RNAcentral lists this long non-coding RNA (2257 nucleotides) under Anas platyrhynchos platyrhynchos (common mallard). RNAcentral's name for it is "lncRNA (ENSAPLG00000018272.1)". Lineage: Eukaryota; Metazoa; Chordata; Aves; Anseriformes; Anatidae. The record is from RNAcentral.
CACGUAGGUUUAAGGUAGAAUAGUAUUUGCACUGUUCUCUUCAAGUUCAAAGUAAAUUCUCUUUAUUCCUUUUAAACACAAAAUGCAGGUUAAAAAAAAAAAAAAAAACUUCACACUGAACUUACUAAACAUAGAGCAGAUUGAUGUUGCUUCCCGCCACCCCAUGUCUAAAUGUGUCCAAGGCAGUUCUCUUGUCAACAGCUAAUCACCAUUAACUGACAACUCAAAUGUAUAAAGCAGAAGAAGACAAUAAAGCUUUACCUUUCUUUUUCAGUGGGUACCUGAAGUAAAGAAGAUUUCUAGUGAUCUAAGAUAUCACAAGACCCAGUAAACCAAGUCGUUAAAAGAUCAGAAGCAGAUAGAAUGAAAAUAUAUCCUUCAUGUAGGAAAUAAUUCCUCAAAAAAAGCACAUUCCUGGGAGGGACACGCUGCAGGCUCUCAGGCAGCAUGCUGACAAGCACUGCUUCCAGCUGUGGCUCUUUAGGGAUGGUCCAAGAGGGAUGAUCAUGUGUUUAUUUGGUCAGUAGCCAUUCUCUCUCUCUAGCAUGGCAGAUAGGCACUGCUGGCCAACCCAAAGGUUGAGAGAAGAGCCUGUUUUGGCAAGCAUGUUCUUUUGGCCGACUGCGAGGCAGUGAAUAGCUGACAGGCUAGAAUCUGUUCAUCUUUCUGGCUGACUCUCUUUGGGGGCUUCAUGCAGAUGGUGUUACAGGAAGCAGCAAGGUCAGAGAGGGUUGAAGAGAACCAGGCUUUACUCCACAGCUGCUACUGAUCUACUGGGAUUCAGCUACGCAAUGGCAACUUGUCUUAUAUGGGAUCCAUAUGUUGUAGAAAGAAGGGAGCAGAAUGAUGGUGUGGAACUGGUUCCAGCAACUGCAAAUGGUUGUCCACUGGUACAUGGCUGCCUUCUCCUGGGCAUCCUUCUGAUUUGUUACAGCUGGAAAUUUUUAUCUCUUUCCUCUCAACUCAGACCUUGAAGAAGCAAUGAGAGGGGACAUCGAUGAGAGCAAAUCCUGGACCAAGGUUCCUAUUGCCUGCCAGUGUUCUGAUGAACAUUUUCUUACUUGAGCAGCCGAGGAAACAAGGUUCCUGGUGCAGUCUGCUCUCUCCACAUUUACCAGUGCACUGUCUCAAUAUUUCAGAAAAAAAAACAGUGCCUUACAUUCGUCAGGUGUUGCAGGAUUGUAAGAUCUUCAUUCUCAGUACUGGAGAGACAUGGAGAUACUGGACAGAGUCCAGUGAAGGGCUAACAAGAUGAUGAAACAACCAGAGCAUCUCCGCUAUAAGGAAAGUCUGAGAGAGUUGGGACUGCGGCCUGGAGAAGAGGCAUCUCUGGGAAUCUCCUCAAUGUCUGUCAAUACAUGAAGGGAGGAUGCAAAGAAGAUGGAUCGAGGCUCUUUUCAGUGGUGCCCAGUAACAGGACAGGGUGCAAUGGGCACAAACUGGAGCAGAAGAGGUUGCCUCUGAACAACAUGAAGCAUUUCUGUGCUGUGAAGAUGCCUGAGCACUGGCACAGGUUUCCCAGGGAGGCUGUGGAGCCUCACUUCUUGGGGAUCUUCAAAAGAUGCCUGGACAUGGUCCUGGGCAACCUACUCUGGGUGUCCAUGCUUUAGCAGGGGGUUGGACCAGGUGACUUCCAGAGGUCCUGUCUACCCUCAACCAUUCUGUGAUUCUCUAAUUCUGUGAAAGUAAAGGGAACAUAUUUUUUGUCCAGCAAAUUUUCUUAAAGGCUGCAUUGGCACUGAACAUUAGGAUAAAUGAUUUCACAUUAUGGUAUAUUGGUGAUAAAUCCAGUUUCAAGCUUCUUAGAAAAUUACUGGCCCUCAGUAAUUUCUGAGGAGUGUGCUCUGAGCCAGUGAGUGAAAUGAACUGUGUUGAAAAUAGCCUUCUAAAAUAUGGAACUGUACCCUUGGCAGCUUAGUCUUUAAUGUAUUCUUGAUGAACAACUUGUCCUGCACCACAGGGAGAUUCCUUGGUGGUAAGGUGUCUUUUCUAUGUUGUAAAAUAGUACCAUUAUUGUUUUUUAUUUGUUUGUUUGCCUGUUGCUCUGAUUCAAGUUGUAUUGUGUAUGAACUUUAAUUUCUGGGACUGUAACUGUAUAAAUUGCUUCCUGACCUUCUCCGGAAAAAAAAAAAAAAAGAAAAAAGAAAAAAAAAAACAACCAAUUAUUUAUAUAUUAGUUUGAUGAUUGCUUAUUCUUCAUAUUUAGUUACCUGAUAUAUAAAAUAAAGAAGCUACAUCUGUAGAUGCUUUCUUUAUA